UUUCAGGACACAUUUCCACAUUUCUAAAGAAAGUGACAAUAAAACAUCAACAGUUCUUGGAUGUUGAAACAUAGCCAAAAGUGAGACCAUCAGGAGAAGGGCCUAAGAAGAACUAGAUUAACAGGAAGAAGGUGAAAAAGUGAUAAUAAAUCUUUUAAUCCUGCCACCUACACAGGCGAUUCUCCACCUACCAGAGGUGAGAGCAUAUCUUACUAGGUCACUAACAGCAGCAAAGUCUCUGAAGAAGGUUUUCCAGUUAAUAUGUGGACCAAAAAAGCACAACUGGACCAAUAUAUAAAAUAAACACACUCCUUUACUACAACAAUUCGGGAAACUAAAUUUUCAAUGAUGGAAGGAAUGGUUAUAUGGUUAAAACCAAAUGCUAAUGUUGGAUACUUUUAUUAAUUCAAUAAAUGAAUAUUCAUUUAUUUAUUUACUGAG
Molecule: long non-coding RNA, 441 nt
Organism: Homo sapiens (human)
Lineage: Eukaryota; Metazoa; Chordata; Mammalia; Primates; Hominidae
Source: Ensembl